AGCAAAGGAAUAUCGCUAUACAUGUAUAUACCGUAUAUAUUUUUUGCAAUAUCAGAAAUAAUUUGACAUACUGUAAUUACUUAAGGGUCUCGGUUCGUAGAAUAGCUGCAACCCUAGCAGUAGCAUUGCAAUUGCAAAACAAAAGCCACAGUCAGGGAAUGGAGAUUAAAAGUUUAUUGAGACCAGCAGAAUAAUAGCCCUUCUCGCUCUAACAAUAGGGGAUGUGUCACGCAAGAACGCCUAGCUAGCUACACGUUGUUUGCCUUUUCACAUCGAUCGUGACAUUACAAACCGCUCUCGAUAACCAGGUCUUUGUUUAAGCCAAAAUAGCUCUUCUCGACAUUGUUUUUGUUUUGGAUCACGUUUUGGCUACUGUUUGAGUGUUUCUCUCUUCAGAAGUUCUCUUACGCGUUAUUAUUGACAUUUUUAAUUACGAGUUAAAACUAGGAGUUUCAUCUUCUUCAGUUGGUAGUGGUACGUAGUGCCGUACUCGUUCACUGUCCGUGGUUACUCGCUCCCGCCCGGGACCCGGGCGCGGCCGUCCCAGCUGCAGAGCCAGCCAAGCAGUUCGAGUGAAAGCGACGAGUACACCAUAAAGGGACAAUGAACUCGGAGUCUACACUUUGUUUCUACAAGUCAACGGGCAACUUGCUCAAUCGAAGAGGACUGGGGAAGUGUACAACAGGCCUGUCGUUUCCGUCCGGCGAAACAAAGAGAUCAUGGAGAACCCAGAAGUACAACAACUGAAUUGGGAAGGACAGUGAGAAGUCUCUGGAGGACAGGAGAUGUGUGUGCAUUUGAGUUUUGUCAGAUGUGUAUCAAUCAGAUUAUUUACGUCUGGGACCGACCUUUUACAUCACAAUCUGAAAGACGUGACCAGGGCUCGAAACUCUGCAUCAAUUUGUAACUUCCCCACAGCUUGGAUUACAGGUGCAAGCCACAACGCCCAGGACAGGAGAGCUGU
Molecule: long non-coding RNA, 964 nt
Filed under: Lytechinus variegatus (green sea urchin)
Lineage: Eukaryota; Metazoa; Echinodermata; Echinoidea; Temnopleuroida; Toxopneustidae
Description: uncharacterized LOC121421354
Source: RNAcentral